RNAcentral lists this ribosomal RNA (254 nucleotides) under uncultured bacterium. RNAcentral's name for it is "partial 16S ribosomal RNA". It matches the Rfam family "Bacterial small subunit ribosomal RNA", at positions 524 to 776 of the family's 1533-position model. The record is from RNAcentral.
GACGAACCGUGCGAACGUUAUUCGGAAUCACUGGGCUUAAAGCGCGUGUAGGCGGGACGGCACGUCGGCCGCUGAAAUCCCCCGGCUCAACCGGGGAACGGGCGCCGAUACGACCGUCCUGGAGGGACGUAGGGGGACCUGGAACUUCCGGUGGAGCGGUGAAAUGCGUUGAGAUCGGAAGGAACGCCCGCGGCGAAAGCGAGGUCCUGGACGUCUUCUGACGCUGAGACGCGAAAGCCAGGGGAGCGAACGGG